Molecule: ribosomal RNA, 253 nt
Filed under: uncultured bacterium
Lineage: Bacteria
Description: partial 16S ribosomal RNA
Rfam family: Bacterial small subunit ribosomal RNA
Source: RNAcentral
UACAGAGGGUGCAAGCGUUAUUCGGAAUUAUUGGGCGUAAAGAGCACGUAGGCGGUUUCGUAAGUCUGAUGUGAAAACCCUGGACUCAACUCAGGAAGUGCAUCGGAUACUGCGAGACUGGAGUACAGGAGAGGUGAGCGGAAUUCCAGGUGUAGAGGUGAAAUUCGUAGAUAUCUGGAGGAACAACAGUGGCGAAGGCGGCUCACUGGACUGUUACUGACGCUGAGGUGCGAAAGCGUGGGGAGCAAACAGG